CCUACGGGAGGCAGCAGUGAGGAAUAUUGGUCAAUGGACGAGAGUCUGAACCAGCCAAGUAGCGUGAAGGAUGACUGCCCUAUGGGUUGUAAACUUCUUUUAUACAGGAAUAAAACGAGGCACGUGUGCCUUUUUGCAUGUACUUUAUGAAUAAGGAUCGGCUAACUCCGUGCCAGCAGCCGCGGUAAUACGGAGGAUCCGAGCGUUAUCCGGAUUUAUUGGGUUUAAAGGGUGCGUAGGCGGGUUGAUAAGUCAGUUGUGAAAUUUUGCGGCUCAACCGUAAAAUUGCCAUUGAUACUGGCAGUCUUGAGUACAGUUGAGGUAGGCGGAAUGCGUGGUGUAGCGGUGAAAUGCUUAGAGAUCACAAAGAACCCCGAUUGCGAAGGCAGCUUACUAAACUAUGACUGACAUUGAUGCUCGAAAGUGUGGGUAGCAAACAGGAUUAGAUACCCGAGUAGUC
Molecule: ribosomal RNA, 460 nt
Filed under: uncultured bacterium
Lineage: Bacteria
Description: partial 16S ribosomal RNA
Rfam family: Bacterial small subunit ribosomal RNA
Source: RNAcentral